Molecule: ribosomal RNA, 377 nt
Filed under: uncultured bacterium
Lineage: Bacteria
Description: bacterial SSU rRNA
Rfam family: Bacterial small subunit ribosomal RNA
Source: RNAcentral
UAAUACGUAGGGGGCAAGCGUUGUCCGGAAUCAUUGGGCGUAAAGAGCGUGUAGGCGGCCCGAUAAGUCCGCUGUGAAAGUCCAGGGCUCAACCCUGGGAUGCCGGUGGAUACUGUCGGGCUCGAGUCCGGAAGAGGAGUGUGGAAUUCCUGGUGUAGCGGUGAAAUGCGCAGAUAUCAGGAGGAACACCAAUGGCGAAGGCAGCACUCUGGGACGUGACUGACGCUGAGACGCGAAAGCGUGGGGAGCAAACAGGAUUAGAUACCCUGGUAGUCCACGCUGUAAACGAUGGGCACUAGGUGUGGGGGGUGUCGACUCCCUCCGUGCCGAAGCUAACGCAUUAAGUGCCCCGCCUGGGGAGUACGGCCGCAAGGCUA